GACGAACUGUCCUAACGUUGUUCGGAAUCACUGGGCUUAAAGGGCGCGUAGGCGGUCGAUCAAGUCAGGGGUGAAAUCCCACAGCUUAACUGUAGAAGUGCCUUUGAUACUGGUUGUCUUGAGGGAGGUAGGGUGUGUGGAACUCACAGUGGAGCGGUGAAAUGCGUUGAUAUUGUGAGGAACGCCGGAGGCGAAAGCGACGCACUGGACCUCUUCUGACGCUGAGGCGCGAAAGCUAGGGGAGCGAAUGGG
This 252-nucleotide ribosomal RNA is filed under the name uncultured bacterium. RNAcentral's name for it is "partial 16S ribosomal RNA". It matches the Rfam family "Bacterial small subunit ribosomal RNA", at positions 524 to 776 of the family's 1533-position model. The record is from RNAcentral.